AAUGAACGCUGGCGGCGUGCCUAACACAUGCAAGUCGAACGAGAAAUUCCCUGCUUGCAGGGGAGAGUAAAGUGGCGCACGGGUGAGUAACGCGUGAGUAACCUGUCCUUGAAUCUGGGAUAACUUCGCGAAAGCGACGCUAAUACCGGAUAUUGUCCCAGGGACCGUGGUCCUUGUGAUGAAAGGUGACCUCUUCAAGAAAGUUGUCGUUCAGGGAGGGGCCCGCGUACCAUUAGCUAGUUGGUAGGGUAAUGGCCUACCAAGGCGAUGAUGGUUAGCUGGUCUGAGAGGAUGACCAGCCACACUGGCACUGAAACACGGGCCAGACUCCUACGGGA
RNAcentral lists this ribosomal RNA (338 nucleotides) under uncultured Pseudomonadota bacterium. Its description in RNAcentral is "bacterial SSU rRNA". It matches the Rfam family "Bacterial small subunit ribosomal RNA", at positions 29 to 346 of the family's 1533-position model. The record is from RNAcentral. Lineage: Bacteria; Pseudomonadati; Pseudomonadota.